UUAAGUGACUAAGCGUACACGGUGGAUGCCUUGGCAGUCAGAGGCGAUGAAAGACGUAGUAACUUGCGAUAAGCCCAGAUUAGGUAGUAACAACCAUUUGAGUCUGGGAUUUCUGAAUGGGGAAACCCACGUGCAUAAGCACGUAUCCUUACCUGAAUACAUAGGGUAAGGAGGCGAACCGGGGGAACUGAAACAUCUAAGUACCCCGAGGAAAAGAAAUCAACCGAGAUUCCGAAAGUAGCGGCGAGCGAAAUUGGACUAGCCCUUAAGCUUUACACGCGUUAGACGAACGGUCUGGAAAGUCCGACGAUACAGGGUGAUAGUCCCGUAGUUGACGACGUGUGUUCAGUGAAAUCGAGUAGGGCGGGACACGUGAUAUCCUGUCUGAAUAUGGGGGGACCAUCCUCCAAGGCUAAAUACUACUGACUGACCGAUAGUGAACCAGUACCGUGAGGGAAAGGCGAAAAGAACCCCUGUGAGGGGAGUGAAAUAGAACCUGAAACCGUGUACGUACAAGCAGUAGGAGCAGGCUUUGUCCUGUGACUGCGUACCUUUUGUAUAAUGGGUCAGCGACUUAUAUUCAGUGGCAAGGUUAACCAUCUAGGGGAGCCGUAGGGAAACCGAGUCUUAACUGGGCGUUCAGUCUCUGGAUAUAGACCCGAAACCAGGUGAUCUAGCCAUGGGCAGGUUGAAGGUUGAGUAACAUCAACUGGAGGACCGAACCGACUAAUGUUGAAAAAUUAGCGGAUGACUUGUGGCUAGGGGUGAAAGGCCAAUCAAACCUGGAGAUAGCUGGUUCUCCCCGAAAGCUAUUUAGGUAGCGCCUCGGACGAAUACUACUGGGGGUAGAGCACUGUUAAGGCUAGGGGGUCAUCCCGACUUACCAACCCUUUGCAAACUCCGAAUACCAGUAAGUACUAUCCGGGAGACACACGGCGGGUGCUAACGUCCGUCGUGGAGAGGGAAACAACCCAGACCGCCAGCUAAGGUCCCAAAUUACUACUAAGUGGGAAACGAUGUGGGAAGGCUCAGACAGCCAGGAUGUUGGCUUAGAAGCAGCCAUCAUUUAAAGAAAGCGUAAUAGCUCACUGGUCGAGUCGGCCUGCGCGGAAGAUGUAACGGGGCUAAGUAGUAAACCGAAGCUGCGGCAAUGUGCUUUUGCACAUUGGGUAGGGGAGCGUUCUGUAAGCGGUUGAAGGUGUGUGGUAACGCAUGCUGGACGUAUCAGAAGUGCGAAUGCUGACAUGAGUAACGAUAAAGGGGGUGAAAAACCUCCUCGCCGGAAGACCAAGGGUUCCUGUCCAACGUUAAUCGGGGCAGGGUAAGUCGACCCCUAAGGCGAGGCCGAAAGGCGUAGUCGAUGGGAAACGGGUUAAUAUUCCCGUACUUCUUACAAUUGCGAUGGGGGGACGGAGAAGGCUAGGUGGGCCUGGCGACGGUCGUCCAGGUUCAAGUGCGUAGGCUUAAGAGUUAGGUAAAUCCGGCUCUUUUUAAGGCUGAGACACGACGUCGAGCACCUACGGGUGUGAAGUCAUUGAUGCCAUGCUUCCAGGAAAAGCCUCUAAGCUUCAGAUUGUAAGGAAUCGUACCCCAAACCGACACAGGUGGUCGGGUAGAGAAUACCAAGGCGCUUGAGAGAACUCGGGUGAAGGAACUAGGCAAAAUGGUACCGUAACUUCGGGAGAAGGUACGCUCUUGAUGGUGAAGUCCCUCGCGGAUGGAGCUGACGAGAGUCGCAGAUACCAGGUGGCUGCAACUGUUUAUUAAAAACACAGCACUGUGCAAAAUCGUAAGAUGACGUAUACGGUGUGACGCCUGCCCGGUGCCGGAAGGUUAAUUGAUGGGGUUAGACUUCGGUCGAAGCUCUUGAUCGAAGCCCCGGUAAACGGCGGCCGUAACUAUAACGGUCCUAAGGUAGCGAAAUUCCUUGUCGGGUAAGUUCCGACCUGCACGAAUGGCGUAAUGAUGGCCACGCUGUCUCCACCCGAGACUCAGUGAAAUUGAAAUCGCUGUGAAGAUGCAGUGUACCCGCGGCUAGACGGAAAGACCCCGUGAACCUUUACUACAGCUUGGCACUGAACAUUGACCCUACAUGUGUAGGAUAGGUGGGAGGCUUUGAAGCACGUACGCCAGUAUGUGUGGAGCCGUCCUUGAAAUACCACCCUUGUAGUGUUGAUGUUCUAACGUCGACCCCUUAUCGGGGUUGCGGACAGUGCCUGGUGGGUAGUUUGACUGGGGCGGUCUCCUCCCAAAGAGUAACGGAGGAGCACGAAGGUGGGCUAAUCACGGUUGGACAUCGUGAGGUUAGUGCAAUGGCAUAAGCCCGCUUGACUGCGAGAAUGACAAUUCGAGCAGGUGCGAAAGCAGGUCAUAGUGAUCCGGUGGUUCUGAAUGGAAGGGCCAUCGCUCAACGGAUAAAAGGUACUCCGGGGAUAACAGGCUGAUACCGCCCAAGAGUUCAUAUCGACGGCGGUGUUUGGCACCUCGAUGUCGGCUCAUCACAUCCUGGGGCUGAAGUCGGUCCCAAGGGUAUGGCUGUUCGCCAUUUAAAGUGGUACGCGAGCUGGGUUUAGAACGUCGUGAGACAGUUCGGUCCCUAUCUGCCGUGGGCGUUGGAAGAUUGAAGGGGGCUGCUCCUAGUACGAGAGGACCGGAGUGGACGAACCUCUGGUGUUCGGGUUGUGUCGCCAGACGCAUUGCCCGGUAGCUAAGUUCGGAAUCGAUAACCGCUGAAAGCAUCUAAGCGGGAAGCGAGCCCUGAGAUGAGUCUUCCCUGAUACUUUAAGUAUCCUAAAGGGUUGUCGGAGACUACGACGUUGAUAGGUCAGGUGUGUAAGUGCUGUGAGGCAUUGAGCUAACUGAUACUAAUUGCCCGUGAGGCUUAACCA
Molecule: ribosomal RNA, 2888 nt
Filed under: Vibrio alginolyticus
Lineage: Bacteria; Pseudomonadati; Pseudomonadota; Gammaproteobacteria; Vibrionales; Vibrionaceae
Description: 23S ribosomal RNA
Rfam family: Bacterial large subunit ribosomal RNA
Source: RNAcentral